RNAcentral lists this ribosomal RNA (568 nucleotides) under Staphylococcus aureus. Its description in RNAcentral is "partial 23S ribosomal RNA". It matches the Rfam family "Bacterial large subunit ribosomal RNA", at positions 475 to 1045 of the family's 2925-position model. The record is from RNAcentral. Lineage: Bacteria; Bacillati; Bacillota; Bacilli; Caryophanales; Staphylococcaceae.
CUCUAGUGACCGAUAGUGAACCAGUACCGUGAGGGAAAGGUGAAAAGCACCCCGGAAGGGGAGUGAAAUAGAACCUGAAACCGUGUGCUUACAAGUAGUCAGAGCCCGUUAAUGGGUGAUGGCGUGCCUUUUGUAGAAUGAACCGGCGAGUUACGAUUUGAUGCAAGGUUAAGCAGUAAAUGUGGAGCCGUAGCGAAAGCGAGUCUGAAUAGGGCGUUUAGUAUUUGGUCGUAGACCCGAAACCAGGUGAUCUACCCUUGGUCAGGUUGAAGUUCAGGUAACACUGAAUGGAGGACCGAACCGACUUACGUUGAAAAGUGAGCGGAUGAACUGAGGGUAGCGGAGAAAUUCCAAUCGAACCUGGAGAUAGCUGGUUCUCUCCGAAAUAGCUUUAGGGCUAGCCUCAAGUGAUGAUUAUUGGAGGUAGAGCACUGUUUGGACGAGGGGCCCCUCUCGGGUUACCGAAUUCAGACAAACUCCGAAUGCCAAUUAAUUUAACUUGGGAGUCAGAACAUGGGUGAUAAGGUCCGUGUUCGAAAGGGAAACAGCCCAGACCACCAGCUAAGGU